Pan troglodytes (chimpanzee) is the source of this 2945-nucleotide long non-coding RNA. RefSeq lists it as uncharacterized. The transcript has 4 exons. NCBI's taxonomy places the organism in Eukaryota, Metazoa, Chordata, Mammalia, Primates, Hominidae. The record is from RefSeq and is a predicted model, not a curated record.
CACUUAGAGGGGCAUUUAGGCAGAGAGCUCUACAAGGCCCUUGCAAGGGCCCUGAAAUAGAAGCAUGUCUGGGAUAUUUCUACAAUAGCAAAGAGGCGUGUGAUGCCAAGUGGUAUGAAUCAAGGAAGAGUAGCAGGCAGAGGUCAACUGCUGAGAAGUGGGAGAAGGAGAAGUGAAAAGUUUGAGGAGCAUAAAUGGCUGAAGUGGCUACCAGAGAAAACUGGAGAGACUGCUAUGCAGCACUGAGGGCCCAGUUGAGGACCCCACUGAAAAUCGGACUGUUCAACUCACCGGCAGCCACUUCCAGAGCCCCUGGCCCAAGGCUCUCUGAAUGACUCCUUCCCAGAUCUUCUUGGCUUAGCAGCUGAAGAUUGAUAGCCUCAGAAGCCUACAGGACCAUCACAGAUGCUCUAGGUAACUCUCACAGUGGAGGGCUAAAUAAUCACUUUGAGUCAGUUGCCGCAGUGAAACUUGAAACCUGAUCAUUGAAGAAGCCUGCAAGUUAGCAGAAAACAAGUCAUACCAGGAUCUGCUGCUCCAGCUGCAUAUUGAAGAUUCAAGUCUGUUUAAAAAUACCCUUAUGUUUCUAGUUAGUUUCAUUGCUAUAAUAUAAUUCAAGCCUUAAAUAACUUACCAAAGUUGUUUUCUUGAAGAAUAUUAUAUAUUCAUACCUACCUAUAACUUCUAGGUGGCUCACCAUAAUCUUAUAAGAUUAUAGUGAUGUGAUAUAUAACUAUAUAGUGAUAUGAUAUAUGAUAUAGUAAUGAUGUAUAACUAUAAUCUUAUAAGACUAUAGUGAUAUGAUAUACAACACUGCUUAAGCAUAAUUUGUGGGAAAUGACGUGCUGGUUACAUGAAUUUUCUGGUUAAGCCCUUUUAUCUUUCAAUCUUGUCACAUGAUUCAGGAUUUUGAGUUGCUUCGUUUCUGAAAAUGAUGCUGUUAUUGAGAGCAGAACCUAUGCUGCUAGAUGCUGUUUUGAUAUUAUUUUGCUGCUGUUUCAUUUGUUGUUGUCAUUUGUCUCUAUUAAGGGCAGAUCCUUUCCCCUUCUCUCUUCUCUCUGUCUCUUCUCUCUCUCUCUCCCUUUUUCUGUCUGCUUUAUGUAUGUGUGUGUGUGUGUGUGUGUAUAAUUGAGGUGCCAAUUAAUGCAAGUUAAUCGGGUUCUGAUUAACUUGGGGUUUUACUAUUAGCAGGCCAAAUUACCUCACCCCUAGAAACACCUGGAAUAUAUUCCCUUCUUUUUCUUGUCCCAGUCACUAUUCCUUCUUAAUGAAAACAAAACAAAACUUAUUCACAAAGCCAUGUCUCCCAACUACUUGUGAAAACCCAUUGUUAACAGCUAUCAAAAGCCCAUUUAUACUUAAAUUUGCCAAGUUGAUAUUUGGUAGUUCUGAAUAUAUAAAACCCCUUUGGUUAUCAAGAGAGAAUACAGCCUAUAUUAGUUUGUUCUCAUGCUGCUAUGAAGAAAUGCCGGAGACUGGGUAAUUUACAAAGGAAAGAGGUUUAAGUGACUCACAGUUCCACAGGGCUGGGGAGGCCUCAGAAAACUUACAAUCAUGGUGAAGGGGGAAGCAAACACGUCCUUCUUCACAUGGCAGCAGGAAAGAGAAGAAUGAGAGCCAAGUGAAGGGGGAAGUCUCUUAUAAAAUUAUCAGAUCUCGUGAGAACUUACUACCAUCAGAAUAGCAUGGGGGAAAAUGUCCCCACGAUUCAAUUACCUCCUACUGGGUCCCUCCCACGACAUGUGGGGAUUAUGGGAACUACAAUUCAAGAUGAGACUUGGGUGGGGACACAGCCAAACCACAUCACAGCCUAUAAGGUAUGAAGAAAUAGGGCAGAUCUAACAAUGAUUUGCACAGUCCUAAGCCCUAGACAGUGGGGGAAAUUGUUGGCAUACCAAAAAGUCACCACUACCACCAUUAAUUUAUUCAGCAAAUUUGUAAAAAGUCUACUAUGUGCAAAUCACUAUACUAAGGGCCAUAAAGAGGACAAGGCAUGAUCUAGUAGUUUAAUAUGGAGACUAAUAGUUUGAGCAGAGCUAGUAUGUCACACAUGCCAUGUUCAUGGUUCAGGAAAUAAUAUGACAAUUCAAAGGAGGAUGAUGUCACUUCUGGGUAUGUGAUAAAGGAAAAUUUUGUAAAAGAGAUGAUGUCUGAGCUGAUCCUUGAAGAAGGUGUAAGAGUUUAGUAAGCAGAGUUGACAGAGUCCAGUGAAAACAAAGAGGCAGGAAAGCCCAAGUCUGUUCAGGGGCUGUGAGGAAAGAUGCGUGAACGAGAAAAAUGACAAAAAGGGUUAGAAAGGCAGGUAGGAUUCAAUCAGGGAAAACUACUCCCAGCUAGAUUUUGAACCUUAUUCCAAAUAAAUGAACAGUUUUGACCAAAGCCCUGGUCAAAGGCUCAGACUUUUUAUCAGAUAGAUUUGAGCUCCAAUCCUGAUUCUACUUACUAUUUAUGACCUUGAGCAAGUCACCUACCUUACCUCUCUAAGCCUCAGGUUGAUCACCUCUAUCUCACAGGGCUGCUAUCAGGUUUAAGUGUAACUGGGAUAUGAAACACUCACUCAUUCUGAAAAUAUUUACUGACCCUUCACUGUAUAUGUCCCAGACACUGAGCUUUGUAGUGCUAAUACAGAGAUAAAGGUAGAAACCCUUCCUUCAAGGAACACAUGAGCCAAUGCGUAAGGCAGAUAAGUAAACAGAAAACUACAAUACAGUAUGAGUAAGCACACGGGCAGAGGUGUUCAAUAACUCAGAUCAGGGGUGGGGGUGGUAAAGAAAACUGACCAGAGGAGGUACUCCCUGAGGCAUCUCAAAGGAUCCUUUGAAGAGGGAUAGAAAUAGAACUUACUUUCUAAGGUCUGAUUAUUUUUAUUAGCCUUUACAUUAACAUGCAGUUUCUAGCAGAAACAAACAUUUAAAACUCUAAAUAAAUUUUUGUUGUUAUUGUUA